This 466-nucleotide ribosomal RNA is filed under the name uncultured bacterium. RNAcentral describes it as "partial 16S ribosomal RNA". It matches the Rfam family "Bacterial small subunit ribosomal RNA", at positions 28 to 507 of the family's 1533-position model. The record is from RNAcentral.
GACGAACGCUGGCGGCGUGCUUAACACAUGCAAGUCGAACGGAAAGGCCUCUUUCGGGGGGUACUCGAGUGGCGAACGGGUGAGUAACACGUGAGUAACCUGCCCUUGACUUUGGGAUAACUUCAGGAAACUGGGGCUAAUACCGGAUAGGAGCUCCUGCUGCAUGGUGGGGGUUGGAAAGUUUCGGCGGUUGGGGAUGGACUCGCGGCUUAUCAGCUUGUUGGUGGGGUAGUGGCUUACCAAGGCUUUGACGGGUAGCCGGCCUGAGAGGGUGACCGGCCACAUUGGGACUGAGAUACGGCCCAGACUCCUACGGGAGGCAGCAGUGGGGAAUAUUGCACAAUGGGCGGAAGCCUGAUGCAGCAACGCCGCGUGCGGGAUGACGGCCUUCGGGUUGUAAACCGCUUUCGCCUGUGACGAAGCGUAAGUGACGGUAAUGGGUAAAGAAGCACCGGCUAACUACGUG